Engraulis encrasicolus (European anchovy) is the source of this 606-nucleotide long non-coding RNA. RefSeq lists it as uncharacterized. The record is from RefSeq and is a predicted model, not a curated record. Lineage: Eukaryota; Metazoa; Chordata; Actinopteri; Clupeiformes; Engraulidae. The transcript has 3 exons.
UAUUUUCUUCAGUUAAGUUGUGAACUUAAACCAAACCUCUGCAUUGGCAAAAUACUAGCACCUUUAUGCACCGUUUCUUCAUUGGUGGCUGGGCACCGCGGAUGGCAUCCCCUUCUUCGUGGCAUGGCACAGGUUCAUCAGUCAGGUGGUCAGCACCCAAACUAAAACCAUGAGGCAUGGUGGCCAGGAUGACGUCCAAGAAUUGCAUCCCAGCACCACAGAUGGGGGAGCCAACAUGAAGAGGUGUCCAGAGAGGCUUCUUUCGCUUGGGCUUUGCAGCAGCACCAGGACCUCACCAUCAGUGAUGCUGGUCCCCUCAUCCAUCGGGCCUACCCUUACAUUCCUCCCCUGAUACACUGAUCACCUGUACCAGUUGUUGGAGUUUUCAGCAGGGCUCUAAAUUAUUUUUAAUCACUAGUAGCCAAAAUGGCUAGUAUGUUAAUCUCCGGUACAUUAAAUAAUGGGUCAAAGUGCCAAGUAUGUUUUUUCUUUUCUACCAGCAAAACUUAAUUUUCCCAGCAUUUGGCUGGUUGGCUGGUGAGCCCUGGUUGUCAUUGAUAGUGAGUAGUUGUGAUAAUAAAUAACUGAAAUGAUGAAGUCCAUCCA